UUUAAAGAGAGUUUGAUCCUGGCUCAGGACGAACGCUGGCGGCGUGCCUAAUACAUGCAAGUCGAACGAACGGAGGAAGAGCUUGCUCUUCCAAUGUUAGUGGCGGACGGGUGAGUAACACGUGGGCAACCUGCCUGUAAGUUGGGGAUAACUCCGGGAAACCGGGGCUAAUACCGAAUGAUAAGAUGUGGCGCAUGCCACGCCUUUGAAAGAUGGUUUCGGCUAUCGCUUACAGAUGGGCCCGCGGUGCAUUAGCUAGUUGGUAGGGUAAUGGCCUACCAAGGCAACGAUGCAUAGCCGACCUGAGAGGGUGAUCGGCCACACUGGGACUGAGACACGGCCCAGACUCCUACGGGAGGCAGCAGUAGGGAAUCUUCCGCAAUGGACGAAAGUCUGACGGAGCAACGCCGCGUGUAUGAAGAAGGUUUUCGGAUCGUAAAGUACUGUUGUUAGAGAAGAACAAGGAUAAGAGUAACUGCUUGUCCCUUGACGGUAUCUAACCAGAAAGCCACGGCUAACUACGUGCCAGCAGCCGCGGUAAUACGUAGGUGGCAAGCGUUGUCCGGAUUUAUUGGGCGUAAAGCGCGCGCAGGCGGUCUUUUAAGUCUGAUGUGAAAGCCCCCGGCUUAACCGGGGAGGGUCAUUGGAAACUGGAAGACUGGAGUGCAGAAGAGGAGAGUGGAAUUCCACGUGUAGCGGUGAAAUGCGUAGAUAUGUGGAGGAACACCAGUGGCGAAGGCGACUCUCUGGUCUGUAACUGACGCUGAGGCGCGAAAGCGUGGGGAGCAAACAGGAU
RNAcentral lists this ribosomal RNA (796 nucleotides) under Listeria monocytogenes. Its description in RNAcentral is "bacterial SSU rRNA". It matches the Rfam family "Bacterial small subunit ribosomal RNA", at positions 1 to 778 of the family's 1533-position model. The record is from RNAcentral. Lineage: Bacteria; Bacillati; Bacillota; Bacilli; Caryophanales; Listeriaceae.